GACGAACGCUGGCGGCAUGCCUAACACAUGCAAGUCGAACGAAGAUAGCGAUAUCUUAGUGGCGAACGGGUGAGUAACGCGUGAGCAACCUGCCUUGUAUACUGGGAUAACACAGAGAAAUUUGUGCUAAUACCGGAUAUGACCACACUACCGCAUGGUAGAGGGGUGAAAGUGAUUUAGCGAUACAAGAGGGGCUCGCGUCCAAUUAGCUAGUUGGCGGGGUAACAGCCCACCAAGGCGACGAUUGGUAGCCGACUUGAGAGAGUGAUCGGCCACAUUGGGACUGAGACACGGCCCAG
This 299-nucleotide ribosomal RNA is filed under the name uncultured bacterium. RNAcentral's name for it is "partial 16S ribosomal RNA". It matches the Rfam family "Bacterial small subunit ribosomal RNA", at positions 28 to 334 of the family's 1533-position model. The record is from RNAcentral.